AAGACUAACCAGGAUUCCCUUGGUAACGGCGAGUGAAGAGGGAAGAAGCCCAGCACCGAAGCCUGCGGCAAUUUUGCUGUUAGGCAAUGUGGUGUGCGGGUCGACUCGCGGAACCCAUCACUCCACUCGAAGUCCAGCAUUGAGUAUGGCAAUUAUUGGAUUUGGCCCAUAGAGGGUGAGAGGCCCGUACGGGUGGAGGUUCAGACAUGUACGAUGGUUCACCAGGUCGGCCUCAGAGUCGGGUUGUUUGAGAUUGCAGCCCAAAGAGGGUGGUAAACUCCAUCCAAGGCUAAAUAUUGCCAUGAGUCCGAUAGCGAACAAGUACCAUGAGGGAAAGUUGAAAAGUACUCUGAAGAGAGAGUAAACAGUACGUGAAGCCGCAUGCAGGUAAACGGGUGGCGUCAAGCUGCGAGCCCAGAGGAUUCAACUGAUUGGGAUGUAGUGUACGCGCGCCUGGUGCGUCGAGAGGUCGGAGUAAGAUGUUUUGGCGGUCCACUCCUCUAUUAGGAGUGGGGCGGCGCAAUCGGUGUGCGCGCUUGCGUGUACUAUCGAUUGUCGUCGCUAUACAUGCCGGAUGGGUGCCGGAGUAUGCCGCUCAUCUGUUGGGCCACCUAAUCAGUGCAUUUUCUCUGUGGUGAACACCACGACCGGUGGAACUGCCAGUCUGCUAUGAUCAAGUCGUAUUCAUCUGGCGCGUUACUGUGUUAGGUGGGUACGAUCGCAGGUAGAGUCGGUGGACGGCGCAGUGGUGCUUCGGUACUGCCGCGUGUUAUCGUGCACUCUCUAUCGUAAACGGUUUGAUGGGGUUUGACUAAGUACUGUGACUUACUUCCCUAUUAAUCGGCGGAUCAUAGUGGUGAAAGGGACUGUGCAGGGCACCGGAGUUGUCCACCUCAUUCAAUAUGGUAUCCGGCACGCACGUCACAGGUGCUAUUAAUUAAUAAUAAUCGAGAUGCGCCGCUGUCUACCCAGUAUUGGGCCUGACUGUCGUGUUGCCUGCGCAAAGUGGGUCCGGCAGUGGUUAUUGAUACUUGGUAGUUGCAGUGUGUUGCGUAUCUUGGGUGUCUGUGAUACCGGGGGUGAAAUAGUCAGUGGUGCUGUGUAGACGAG
This 1110-nucleotide ribosomal RNA is filed under the name Variolepis farciminosa. Its description in RNAcentral is "eukaryotic LSU rRNA". It matches the Rfam family "Eukaryotic large subunit ribosomal RNA", at positions 61 to 634 of the family's 3401-position model. Lineage: Eukaryota; Metazoa; Platyhelminthes; Cestoda; Cyclophyllidea; Hymenolepididae. The record is from RNAcentral.